Long non-coding RNA from Drosophila biarmipes, 603 nucleotides. RefSeq lists it as uncharacterized. The record is from RefSeq and is a predicted model, not a curated record. Lineage: Eukaryota; Metazoa; Arthropoda; Insecta; Diptera; Drosophilidae. The transcript has 2 exons.
AACUAAAAGAAACUUAAAGGCAGGCAGCUAACGCUAAAGAGCCAAACGGCGAGACUGGGAAAACAACCCCUAAAGUGGCGUCGGCGUUCGGCUGCUUUGCAGCUGCUGGUGUUUCGGACAAGUGUUUGGGACAUAUGCGUCAGCACACGUCAGCCGGUUCUGGCGGACUUUCAGCGGCUGUUGCUUAUACUUUCAGCAGCAACCACCAACAAUAUGAAAUCUUGGGGCAUCUGUGCUUUCAUCUGUAUUACAGGAGUAUACGCGCAACUUGAAUUUAAUAUUCAAGUGCCUAAGCAUGGGGACUUAAUAAGCUUGACGCCCGCUGUUGGUCUAAUUCGCAGCCGCCGUUAUGCCGAGAUCCCUCAAAUGAAUUUCCAGGGAUUAGCUUACGACAACUUGCUAAAUAAUGUGCUCAAUACGACCACCGAGGAGCCAACAACGGUGUUCACUGAACAUACUAAAACAAAAGCAUCCGUUAAAAGUGCGAAACGGCCCCAAAGAAAAUUGCGAAGGUUGAAAACUAUGUCUCCAAACCCAAAUUAAAUAAACAAUAACUAUGCGUAUUGGAUAUAUUUUAAAAAAUAAUACAAUUUGUGUAAAUUG